GACAGAGGAUGCAAGCGUUAUCCGGAAUGAUUGGGCGUAAAGCGUCUGUAGGUGGCUUUUUAAGUCUGCCGUCAAAUCCCAGGGCUUAACCCUGGACAGGCGGUGGAAACUACCAAGCUGGAGUACGGUAGGGGCAGGGGGAAUUUCCGGUGGAGCGGGUGAAAUGCGUAGAGAUCGGAAAGAACACCAACGGCGAAAGCACUCUGCUGGGCCGACACUGACACUGAGAGACGAAAGCUAGGGGAGCGAAUGGG
This 254-nucleotide ribosomal RNA is filed under the name uncultured bacterium. Its description in RNAcentral is "partial 16S ribosomal RNA". It matches the Rfam family "Bacterial small subunit ribosomal RNA", at positions 524 to 776 of the family's 1533-position model. The record is from RNAcentral.